AAAUAGCACUAUUCGAAUUCACAUUCAUAAGCACUACUGUAUUUUUAAUAAUAUUAAUUUAUAGAUAUUAAUUAAUAAUCUACACAGAAAUUGACAAAAGUUUACCUGGUUUUCAUUGGUUAUAUUAAAAUUAUUGGUCAAUACCAUUACUACAACUUUAGAUUACAAAUCUCUAUGUUUAUAAAAUAUUCAUGAAUACUUGUAUAAUCUCCAGAGAACAAUUAGAGGUGUGCCGAAUUAUUUCUGAGCUAGUCUAUACACUUCUCGACUGCCAGAGGAAGUAAUUGAUAAUUAUAAAUUUUUAGAACACGAUCAAUUAGAAUUCAGUUUCACACAAUAAAUAUAUCACUUGUAAUGCAUAAAUGUGCACCGAACGUGUUUGACGAUAGAAUGAACGCCGGUAUGAAAAUGAAAGGAGAAUAACGGUGACGUAAUAUCGGAUGAUCACAACGUCAUACAAUCAUACUCUUAUUAUCGCAUGAGUACAAAUACAUUUCCAAUUCUAUAAAAUUAUUUCCCACAAAUUUAAUUGUUUUAA
Molecule: unclassified non-coding RNA, 538 nt
Filed under: Bombus terrestris (buff-tailed bumblebee)
Lineage: Eukaryota; Metazoa; Arthropoda; Insecta; Hymenoptera; Apidae
Description: misc RNA ENSBTSG00005028200.1
Source: RNAcentral